UAUUCCUAUGCCAGUGUGCACUCAAAGCCGACGCUUUGGGGCCGCCUCUGCCGGGCUAUCGCCCGGUCGAACAGUCGAAAUUCGUGGAAGCCGUAAUGGCACGAAGCGAACGAAUGGCUGGAUAGCGCAAGAGAGGCCAACCUAGAGCCCGUGAAAAGGCGAGCACACUGUCCGUACCGAGAUCCGACACAGGUACUCGUGGCGGCGAAAGCCAAGGUCUGUCGGGAGCAACCGACGUUAGGGAAUUCGGCAAGUUAGUCCCGUACGUUCGCAAUAAGGGAUGCCUGCCUCGCGAAGAGGCAGGUCGCAGUGACUCGGACGCUCCGACUGUCUAGUAACAACAUAGGUGACCGCAAAUCCGCAAGGACUCGUACGGUCACUGAAUCCUGCCCAGUGCAGGUAUCUGAACACCCCGUACAAGGGGACGAAGGACCUGUUAACGGCGGGGGUAACUAUGACCCUCUUAAGGUAGCGUAGUACCUUGCCGCUUCAGUAGCGGCUUGCAUGAAUGGAUCAACGAGAGCGUCACUGUCCCAACGUUGGGCCCGGUGAACUGUACGUUCCAGUGCGGAGUCUGGAGACCCCCAAGGGGAAGCGAAGACCCUAUAGAGCUUUACUGCAGGCUGUCACUGAGACGUGGUCGCCAUUGUGCAGCAUAGGUAGGAGCCGCUACACAGGUACCCGCGCUAGCGGGCCACCGAGGCAUCAUUGAAAUACUACCCGAUGGUGACUGCGACUCUCACUCCUGGCGGAGGACACUGGUAGCCGGGCAGUUUGACUGGGGCGGUACGCGCCUGAAAAGAUAUCGGGCGCGCCCCAAGAUUUCCUCACCC
Molecule: ribosomal RNA, 833 nt
Filed under: Natrinema sp. 1APR25-10V2
Lineage: Archaea; Methanobacteriati; Methanobacteriota; Halobacteria; Halobacteriales; Natrialbaceae
Description: partial 23S ribosomal RNA
Rfam family: Archaeal large subunit ribosomal RNA
Source: RNAcentral